RNAcentral lists this ribosomal RNA (414 nucleotides) under Ischnura asiatica. RNAcentral's name for it is "partial 16S ribosomal RNA". It matches the Rfam family "Archaeal large subunit ribosomal RNA", at positions 1889 to 2551 of the family's 2987-position model. The record is from RNAcentral. Lineage: Eukaryota; Metazoa; Arthropoda; Insecta; Odonata; Coenagrionidae.
CGCCUGUUUAACAAAAACAUGUCCUAUUGUAUUCUUUAAUAGGUCUGGCCUGCCCAGUGAUAAUUUUAACGGCCGCGGUAUAUUGACCGUGCAAAGGUAGCAUAAUCAUUAGUCUUUUAAUAGAAGGCUGGAAUGAAAGGUUUAACGAGAAAUUAACUGUCUCAAUUACAUACUUGAAUUUAUCUUUUGAGUCAAAAGACUUAAAUAUAAUUGGUGGACGAGAAGACCCUAUAGAGCUUUACAAUUUUAUUUCUAUAUUUAUAUAGUAAUAUUAUUUAUUUAUAUUUAUAAAAUUGUUUUGUUGGGGUGACAAUAAAUAUGUAUUUAACUUUUAUCAUAAUAUAAACAUUAAUUUAUGAUUUUUGGAUCCAAAAAUUUUGAUCAAUAGAUUAAGUUACCUUAGGGAUAACAGCG